RNAcentral lists this ribosomal RNA (253 nucleotides) under uncultured bacterium. RNAcentral's name for it is "partial 16S ribosomal RNA". It matches the Rfam family "Bacterial small subunit ribosomal RNA", at positions 524 to 776 of the family's 1533-position model. The record is from RNAcentral.
UACGUAGGUGGCGAGCGUUGUCCGGAUUUACUGGGCGUAAAGGGAGCGUAGGCGGACUUUUAAGUGAGAUGUGAAAUACUCGGGCUCAACUUGAGUGCUGCAUUUCAAACUGGAAGUCUAGUGUGCAGGAGAGGAGAAUGGAAUUCCUAGUGUAGCGGUGAAAUGCGUAGAGAUUAGGAAGAACACCAGUGGCGAAGGCGAUUCUCUGGACUGUAACUGACGCUGAGGCUCGAAAGCGUGGGGAGCAAACAGG